GAUGAACGCUGGCGGCGUGCCUAAUACAUGCAAGUCGAGCGAACAGACGAGGAGCUUGCUCCUCUGACGUUAGCGGCGGACGGGUGAGUAACACGUGGAUAACCUACCUAUAAGACUGGGAUAACUUCGGGAAACCGGAGCUAAUACCGGAUAAUAUAUUGAACCGCAUGGUUCAAUAGUGAAAGACGGUUUUGCUGUCACUUAUAGAUGGAUCCGCGCCGCAUUAGCUAGUUGGUAAGGUAACGGCUUACCAAGGCAACGAUGCGUAGCCGACCUGAGAGGGUGAUCGGCCACACGGGAACUGAGACACGGUCCAGACUCCUACGGGAGGCAGCAGUAGGGAAUCUUCCGCAAUGGGCGAAAGCCUGACGGAGCAACGCCGCGUGAGUGAUGAAGGUCUUCGGAUCGUAAAACUCUGUUAUUAGGGAAGAACAAAUGUGUAAGUAACGAUGCACGUCUUGACGGUACCUAAUCAGAAAGCCACGGCUAACUACGU
RNAcentral lists this ribosomal RNA (496 nucleotides) under uncultured bacterium. Its description in RNAcentral is "partial 16S ribosomal RNA". It matches the Rfam family "Bacterial small subunit ribosomal RNA", at positions 28 to 506 of the family's 1533-position model. The record is from RNAcentral.